AGGAUCACUCUCGAGGAGAAAAGAGGAGCAACCGUCUUAGCCACUCUGCACACAGACUGCCUUGCUCCUGCCUAUCUAGAGAGCCAGAAAUGGACUCAGCAAUACCCUGUUCACCAGUGCUUUUACGCAGAGAGGAAAGAAACUCCUUCAAAAGUGGUACACGCUCCUCCUACACUGCAUCUCUUAGACAAUUCACCUAUUCAAAGGGGUGUAUCAGGUGUCUACUUAUAACCUGCACAAAAGUGACAAAGCUACCAGUCAAGAGAACUUGCAGGUGAGAAGCCAUAUGCAGUUGGC
Molecule: long non-coding RNA, 297 nt
Organism: Pipra filicauda (Wire-tailed manakin)
Lineage: Eukaryota; Metazoa; Chordata; Aves; Passeriformes; Pipridae
Exons: 3
Source: RefSeq, a predicted model, not a curated record